Long non-coding RNA from Zonotrichia leucophrys gambelii, 409 nucleotides. RefSeq lists it as uncharacterized. NCBI's taxonomy places the organism in Eukaryota, Metazoa, Chordata, Aves, Passeriformes, Passerellidae. The record is from RefSeq and is a predicted model, not a curated record. The transcript has 4 exons.
GGAGAAUGAAGAGUCAGUGCUUAGAGGAGCUGCCUAUGAGGAACAGCAAGGAGAUGCUUUGAAUACCUCAGGAAUGUUAUUGUGUACACUGGGAAAGAACCGCCAUGCUUCCAAGCAUACAAAGCUCUUAAAGGGACACAGUUUGUGGUAAUCGGGAGUAGGGCUGCAGCUAUGAAAAGCAGAUUUACUACUGUUUGUCUGAAAAAUGAAAAGAACAAGAAACCACAACUGGGGUAAAACUCUACCCCAGUGAUGGCUGAGAAGUAAGAAUGUGAUGGCUGAGAAGUAAGAAGAAAAUUAAAUACCUAAAAUAAUAGAUUACUAAAACCAAAGCAGAUGUACAAAAUACUAACUUCCCAGAUUCCCAAUAAAUAUCUCAAAGUUUCUAGGAAGCUUCUUAUAAAGUUUA